Molecule: ribosomal RNA, 506 nt
Filed under: uncultured bacterium
Lineage: Bacteria
Description: partial 16S ribosomal RNA
Rfam family: Bacterial small subunit ribosomal RNA
Source: RNAcentral
AGUGAACGCUGGCGGUAGGCCUAACACAUGCAAGUCGAACGGCAGCACAGGAGAGCUUGCUCUCUGGGUGGCGAGUGGCGGACGGGUGAGGAAUACAUCGGAAUCUACUUUUUCGUGGGGGAUAACGUAGGGAAACUUACGCUAAUACCGCAUACGACUUACGGGUGAAAGCAGGGGAUCUUCGGACCUUGCGCGAUUGAAUGAGCCGAUGUCGGAUUAGCUAGUUGGCGGGGUAAAGGACCACCAAGGCGACGAUCCGUAGCUGGUCUGAGAGGAUGAUCAGCCACACUGGAACUGAGACACGGUCCAGACUCCUACGGGAGGCAGCAGUGGGGAAUAUUGGACAAUGGGCGCAAGCCUGAUCCAGCCAUACCGCGUGGGUGAAGAAGGCCUUCGGGUUGUAAAGCCCUUUUGUUGGGAAAGAAAUCCAGCUGGCUAAUACCCGGUUGGGAUGACGGUACCCAAAGAAUAAGCACCGGCUAACUACGUGCCAGCCGCCGCCGUAA